This is a long non-coding RNA of Pecten maximus, 889 nucleotides long. RefSeq lists it as uncharacterized. The record is from RefSeq and is a predicted model, not a curated record. Lineage: Eukaryota; Metazoa; Mollusca; Bivalvia; Pectinida; Pectinidae. The transcript is spliced from 3 exons.
UUUUCGUUCCGGGUACACUUUAAACAAUGAGAGACAACACGGUAACCCACUAACGGUCAUUUGUAAGGGAAGCGAAGCCUUGACAGAAGGAAGGGAAGAGUUUAUACAAGAAGACUGCCUCUUUUAAUAAAUCAUGCGAGACGAAGAACCGGAAAUGCAUCAUUGUGAUUAUGACGUCAUCUGUUGACAUCACGUGUCAUCUCUUAUCAACGAGGCUCAUGACUUCGGUCACGAUGUAUUUCGCUCUCACAUUUCCCUUGCUUCUUCAAAGUUUUCCUUCAAAAUAUUCCUCAGCUAUUGUCAUAGAUACAGUCAACAAGAUUAACGACGAGUCAGCCUCGGGUACAUGUACGUACAAUGUAUCAAGAAAAGACAAUGGUGACCAUACCGCCACGUUGAUCCGCCUAAACCACGUGGUCGGACCAUUUGAAAUGGACCUCUUCAGAUUUCGCAAUGGCAAAUAACGGAGCUAAGUCUGCCGAUGACAAUGUCCAGUAGUGCGUCACGUGCCUCCUCUGACGUCAACAUGGCAUCUAAGACUGCACCACGUUCCUCUAAAACCACUAUGGCAUGUGAGACUGCAUCAUGUGCCUCUGAUGCCAUUAUGGGCAUUUAAGACAGCACUUAUUGCCACUGUGACCGCUGUGAAGGUGAAACGUCGUCCAUGUUACAUGUACAUACCUAAAACCAGUACUACAUGUAUGAUCCAAUCGCCGACUCAGGUAUAUAUAUAUCUUUUAUUAUCUCAAUAGUUUUUCCGGGUUUGAUAAGAUUUAGUUUUCUUGUUAUUUUUCUCGCUUAAUUCUAUUAUAUUUUCCUGUCCUCCUUCCUUUCUAUGCUCGAAAGGCGAGUUUAGGUGUCUAAAGGUAUCGUCCGUUCUGAUAACAGA